CUUCUCAAAAAUCGUUUAGCGUAUCAGGCUAUCUUGUAAGAGAUGGCCUCUUCCCUUU
This 58-nucleotide small RNA is filed under the name Vibrio cholerae O1 biovar El Tor str. N16961. Lineage: Bacteria; Pseudomonadati; Pseudomonadota; Gammaproteobacteria; Vibrionales; Vibrionaceae. The record is from RNAcentral.